This 105-nucleotide non-coding RNA is filed under the name Bacillus sp. (in: firmicutes). RNAcentral's name for it is "Bacillus sp. SAM-I sequence". It matches the Rfam family "SAM riboswitch aptamer (S box leader)". Rfam says of the family: The SAM riboswitch is found upstream of a number of genes which code for proteins involved in methionine or cysteine biosynthesis in Gram-positive bacteria. The SAM riboswitch acts at the level of transcription termination control. RNAcentral also lists the same sequence under 1 other name. Lineage: Bacteria; Bacillati; Bacillota; Bacilli; Caryophanales; Bacillaceae. The record is from RNAcentral.
CUCUUAUCAAGAGCAGGCGGAGGGAUGAGCCCUAUGAAGCCCGGCAACCGGCUUACUUUUAGCACGGUGCUAAUUCUUACAGCAGUUCAUGCUGAAAGAUAAGAA